RNAcentral lists this ribosomal RNA (477 nucleotides) under uncultured bacterium. RNAcentral's name for it is "partial 16S ribosomal RNA". It matches the Rfam family "Bacterial small subunit ribosomal RNA", at positions 28 to 507 of the family's 1533-position model. The record is from RNAcentral.
GAUGAACGCUGGCGGCGUGCCUAACACAUGCAAGUCGAACGAGAUGCGUAUUGGAAAGCUUCGGCCGGAAGAUGCGUUAUCUAGUGGCGGACGGGUGAGUAACACGUGGGUAACCUGCCUUAUGGAGGGGGAUAACAGAGAGAAAUCACUGCUAAUACCGCAUAAGCACACAUUGCCGCAUGGCAGAGUGUGAAAAGAUUUAUCGCCAUAAGAUGGACCCGCGUCUGAUUAACCAGUUGGCAGGGUAAAAGCCUACCAAAGCAACGAUCAGUAGCCGAUCUGAGAGGAUGACCGGCCACAUUGGGACUGAGACACGGCCCAAACUCCUACGGGAGGCAGCAGUGGGGAAUAUUGCACAAUGGGGGAAACCCUGAUGCAGCGACGCCGCGUGAGUGAAGAAGUAUUUCGGUAUGUAAAGCUCUAUCAGCAGGGAAGAUAAUGACAGUACCUGACUAAGAAGCCCCGGCUAACUACGUG